AUAAUGGGUCAGCGACUUAUAUUCUGUAGCAAGGUUAACCGAAUAGGGGAGCCGAAGGGAAACCGAGUCUUAACUGGGCGUUAAGUUGCAGGGUAUAGACCCGAAACCCGGUGAUCUAGCCAUGGGCAGGUUGAAGGUUGGGUAACACUAACUGGAGGACCGAACCGACUAAUGUUGAAAAAUUAGCGGAUGACUUGUGGCUGGGGGUGAAAGGCCAAUCAAACCGGGAGAUAGCUGGUUCUCCCCGAAAGCUAUUUAGGUAGCGCCUCGUGAAUUCAUCUCCGGGGGUAGAGCACUGUUUCGGCAAGGGGGUCAUCCCGACUUACCAACCCGAUGCAAACUGCGAAUACCGGAGAAUGUUAUCACGGGAGACACACGGCGGGUGCUAACGUCCGUCGUGAAGAGGGAAACAACCCAGACCGCCAGCUAAGGUCCCAAAGUCAUGGUUAAGUGGGAAACGAUGUGGGAAGGCCCAGACAGCCAGGAUGUUGGCUUAGAAGCAGCCAUCAUUUAAAGAAAGCGUAAUAGCUCACUGGUCGAGUCGGCCUGCGCGGAAGAUGUAAC
RNAcentral lists this ribosomal RNA (564 nucleotides) under Escherichia coli. Its description in RNAcentral is "partial 23S ribosomal RNA". It matches the Rfam family "Bacterial large subunit ribosomal RNA", at positions 612 to 1176 of the family's 2925-position model. Lineage: Bacteria; Pseudomonadati; Pseudomonadota; Gammaproteobacteria; Enterobacterales; Enterobacteriaceae. The record is from RNAcentral.